GACGAACGCUGGCGGCAUGCCUAACACAUGCAAGUCUAGGGGUAGCAAUACCACUGGCGCACGGGUGAGUAACACGUAGGUUAUCUGCCCCCAUCACAGACAUAACCCCGGGAAACCGGGGCUAAUAUCUGAUGAGGUCGCGAGAUCAAAGCUUCGGCGGAUGGGGAUGAGCCUGCGGCUGAUUAGCUAGUUGGUGAGGUAAUGGCUCACCGAAGGCGACGAUCAGUAGCUGGUCUGAGAGGACGAACAGCCACACUGGAACUGAGACACGGUCCAGACUCCGUACGGGAGGCAGCAGUGAGGAAUAUUGGU
This 312-nucleotide ribosomal RNA is filed under the name uncultured bacterium. Its description in RNAcentral is "bacterial SSU rRNA". It matches the Rfam family "Bacterial small subunit ribosomal RNA", at positions 28 to 368 of the family's 1533-position model. The record is from RNAcentral.